AAAGAUUUAUCGGCUUAAGAUGAGCCCGCGUUGGAUUAGCUAGUUGGUGGGGUAAAGGCCUACCAAGGCGACGAUCCAUAGCUGGUCUGAGAGGAUGAUCAGCCACACUGGGACUGAGACACGGCCCAGACUCCUACGGGAGGCAGCAGUGGGGAAUAUUGGACAAUGGGCGGAAGCCUGAUCCAGCCAUGCCGCGUGAGUGAAGAAGGCCUUAGGGUUGUAAAGCUCUUUCACCGGUGAAGAUAAUGACGGUAACCGGAGAAGAAGCCCCGGCUAACUUCGUGCCAGCAGCCGCGGUAAUACGAAGGGGGCUAGCGUUGUUCGGAUUUACUGGGCGUAAAGCGCGCGUAGGCGGAUAGAUAAGUCAGAGGUGAAAUCCCGGGGCUCAACCCCGGAAUUGCCUUUGAUACUGUUUAUCUUGAGUGCAGAAGAGGUAAGUGGAAUUCCGAGUGUAGAGGUGAAAUUCGUAGAUAUUCGGAGGAACACCAGUGGCGAANGC
RNAcentral lists this ribosomal RNA (499 nucleotides) under uncultured Hyphomicrobiales bacterium. Its description in RNAcentral is "bacterial SSU rRNA". It matches the Rfam family "Bacterial small subunit ribosomal RNA", at positions 202 to 722 of the family's 1533-position model. The record is from RNAcentral. Lineage: Bacteria; Pseudomonadati; Pseudomonadota; Alphaproteobacteria; Hyphomicrobiales.